GCACUGCUGAGGAGUCCCACAAUUGGACGAAACAGCCGUCCAGUGC
Schistosoma haematobium is the source of this 46-nucleotide non-coding RNA. The record is from Rfam. Lineage: Eukaryota; Metazoa; Platyhelminthes; Trematoda; Strigeidida; Schistosomatidae.